UGGGCCUGUAGCUCAGUUUUGGUUAGAGCGUUCGACUGAUAAUCGAGAGGUCGGAGGUUCAAGUCCUCCCAGGCCCACCAC
Molecule: transfer RNA, 81 nt
Filed under: SAR86 cluster bacterium SAR86B
Lineage: Bacteria; Pseudomonadati; Pseudomonadota; Gammaproteobacteria
Description: tRNA-Ile
Rfam family: tRNA
About the family: Transfer RNA (tRNA) molecules are approximately 80 nucleotides in length. Their secondary structure includes four short double-helical elements and three loops (D, anti-codon, and T loops). Further hydrogen bonds mediate the characteristic L-shaped molecular structure. tRNAs have two regions of fundamental functional importance: the anti-codon, which is responsible for specific mRNA codon recognition, and the 3' end, to which the tRNAs corresponding amino acid is attached (by aminoacyl-tRNA synthetases). tRNAs cope with the degeneracy of the genetic code in two manners: having more than one tRNA (with a specific anti-codon) for a particular amino acid; and 'wobble' base-pairing, i.e. permitting non-standard base-pairing at the 3rd anti-codon position.
Source: RNAcentral